This 200-nucleotide ribosomal RNA is filed under the name uncultured bacterium. Its description in RNAcentral is "partial 16S ribosomal RNA". It matches the Rfam family "Bacterial small subunit ribosomal RNA", at positions 923 to 1120 of the family's 1533-position model. The record is from RNAcentral.
GGCACAUGCGGUGGAGCAUGUGGUUUAAUUUGAAGCAACGCGAAGAACCUUACCAGGCCCUGACAUCCAAACAACUUUCACAGAGAUAGAUUGGUGCCUUCGGGAACAUUGAGACAGGUGUUGCAUGGCAGUCGUCAGCUCGUGUCGUGAGAUGUUGGGUUAAGUCCCGUAACGAGCGCAACCCUUGUCCUUAGUUACCA